GUGGUAGCACAUAUGCUGAAAUUGGAACGAUACAGAGAAGAUUAAUGUGGCCCCUGCACAAGGAUGACCCAGCAUCAGGCUGUAGGAGAAACGCUGGAUU
RNAcentral lists this small nuclear RNA (100 nucleotides) under Chelonia mydas (Green sea turtle). The record is from RNAcentral. Lineage: Eukaryota; Metazoa; Chordata; Testudines; Cheloniidae.